This 216-nucleotide unclassified non-coding RNA is filed under the name Hevea brasiliensis (rubber tree). Lineage: Eukaryota; Viridiplantae; Streptophyta; Magnoliopsida; Malpighiales; Euphorbiaceae. The record is from RNAcentral.
AAGCCCUUACACUUUCAAAAGCCUGAAGGUCAAAGGCAAUUUAUCAUUAAGAACAUGAAAUUUACAAUGGCCUCCUCACAAUUUAUUGGUCCACUAUUUUCUACCUCCUUCUAAGCAUGCAAAACCAAAAUGCAAAAUUAGAACAAAAAAUUAAUGCAAGCUGCUCUUAAUUUCGAUGGCAUAAAUCCCACACCUUAUUCAUAGCUUUUUGGCUUU